Molecule: long non-coding RNA, 464 nt
Filed under: Erythranthe guttata (spotted monkey flower)
Lineage: Eukaryota; Viridiplantae; Streptophyta; Magnoliopsida; Lamiales; Phrymaceae
Description: long non-coding RNA (EGUT_LNC000772)
Source: RNAcentral
CAGUGUUGAUGAAUCAGUUCCUCGCAAUCCUCACGGUGUAGCCACGUGGCUUCGAAUCGAAAAGGUCUUUUCUUCCGCCCACCGAGACUUACGGGAGGGGCACUGAGUAGUACUUUAAUCGGAAUAUGGUCCGAACCAGCAUAGUCGAGGUGUUUAACUAGAGCUCUAGGGAAGCACGUUGUCCAAUCAUUAUUUGCACAUGCUCGGUCCAACCUGCAACGAACCGUGUGUGGAGAUAGCCUGUUAUUCGACCAAGUGAAAAUGGGGCCUUCAUAGCCCAAAUCAUGCAGCUCACAGUUUUCCAGAGCUUCGCGAAACAUAUUAAGUUGGGACGGUUGUUUAGUAAUCCCACCGGACUUCUCACUAUUGUUUAAUACUUCGUUAAAAUCUCCACCUACUAGCCAGGGCAAAUUCCGAUAAUUCUUAAGUCUGCGCAAGAGAUCCCACGAUAGAGUUUUUCGAUC